GCUUAAAACAGCUCUUGCAAAUUUUUAGAUAAGCUGAUGUGAUAUAGUGAUGCUUCACCUUCAGGUUAGCUAAAAAUCGAUGUCCCACUAGCACAAUUUUGAGUAGGCCAUCUGCAGAUUGAUGAGUUCAAUGUUAUUUGGUGCUACUACAUAUCAGAGGUCGGCCUUCGGAUGAGGUCGGCCUUAUAAUGAGCUUGACCUUCUGAUGAG
RNAcentral lists this long non-coding RNA (210 nucleotides) under Elaeis guineensis (African oil palm). RNAcentral's name for it is "long non-coding RNA (EGUI_LNC032474)". Lineage: Eukaryota; Viridiplantae; Streptophyta; Magnoliopsida; Arecales; Arecaceae. The record is from RNAcentral.